Molecule: ribosomal RNA, 494 nt
Filed under: uncultured bacterium
Lineage: Bacteria
Description: partial 16S ribosomal RNA
Rfam family: Bacterial small subunit ribosomal RNA
Source: RNAcentral
GACGAACGCUGGCGGCGUGCCUAAUACAUGCAAGUCGAGCGGACUUAAAAAGCUUGCUUUUUAAGUUAGCGGCGGACGGGUGAGUAACACGUGGGCAACCUGCCUGUAAGACUGGGAUAACUUCGGGAAACCGGAGCUAAUACCGGAUAAUCCUUUUCUACUCAUGUAGAAAAGCUGAAAGACGGUUUACGCUGUCACUUACAGAUGGGCCCGCGGCGCAUUAGCUAGUUGGUGAGGUAACGGCUCACCAAGGCGACGAUGCGUAGCCGACCUGAGAGGGUGAGCGGCAACACGGGAAAGGAGACAGGGCCCAGACUCCUAGGGGAGGCAGAAGUGGGGAAUAUUGGAAAAGGGGGGAAAGCCUGAGGGAGCAACGCGGGGUGAGGGAAGAAGUUUUUCGGAGUGAAAACCGCUUUUUUGAGGGAGGAAAAGUAAGGAGAUAACACCUUGUUGCUUUGAGGGUACCAACAAAAAAAGCACCGGCUAACUACGUG